Gadus chalcogrammus (walleye pollock) is the source of this 869-nucleotide non-coding RNA. Lineage: Eukaryota; Metazoa; Chordata; Actinopteri; Gadiformes; Gadidae. The record is from the annotation of a RefSeq genome assembly.
UUUUAAUAAAUGCAUGAUUAUAACAUUGUCUUGAGGUUUUUUAAUGAGUCAAAUGAUUGGACUAAUGUUAAAGCAAUCCACUGUUUGUUAGUGAUCCUUCAACAAUUUUAUGAAAAUAUAUGUUGAAUAAAUACAUUUGUUUAAUCCAUGUACAUUCAGACAAUAGAUAAAAAUUACCAAUAAUUGUUUGAGCGAAUCAAAUAUUGAAUGAUUCAGAGAUUUUUGUCUGAAAGCGAGUGAUUGUGUGACAGUAAGAUGAGCCUUUAAUAUGCGGGAGGUUUUUGUACAGCCUCUUAACGAGUUUGUAUCACUGUGGUACACUUUUGGUGGAGGCACCAAACUCAUCGUUGACUUGGGAGUGGUGCAGCCCACGCUGAGCGUCCUCCCUCCCUCCAGAGUGGAGCUGGAGCAGGGCAGUGCUACACUAGUGUGUGUGGCCAGUGGGGGCUUCCCCUCAGACUGGAAGCUUGGCUGGAAGGUGGGGGGCAGCAGCAGGUCUGGGGGGGUGUCUGAUAGCCUGGGGGUCCUGGGGAAAGAUGGCCACUACAGCUGGAGCAGCACCUUGACCCUCCCUGCAGACCAGUGGAGGAAGGCGGGCUCAGUGAGCUGUGAGGCCAGUAAGAAUGGCCAGACGCAGCCUGUCACUCAAACCCUGAAUCCUGACCAGUGUUCAGAGUAGAGAGGCUCCAGCAUGGAAGUACUGGAGAACACAGAUCUCCUCUGACACGUCUGCUUCAUGUCUCUAUCUGAGGUGGCAAUGCAGCUUUUGAUGAUUUACAUUAAUAUAACUCGUGUUGGAUUCAUUGACAUUAUGCUCUCUGAUUUUAUCCCCUUGCUUUGUCACAUGUUGAAUCAAAUAAAAAAACAAA